AUUGAACGCUGGCGGCAGGCCUAACACAUGCAAGUCGAACGAGUGGCGGACGGGUGAGUAAUGUCUGGGAAACUGCCUGAUGGAGGGGGAUAACCACUGGAAACGGUAGCUAAUACCGCAUACCAUCGGAUGUGCCCAGAUGGGAUUAGGUAGUGGGUGGGGUAACGGCUCACCUAGGCGACGAUCCCUAGCUGGUCUGAGAGGAUGACCAGCCACACUGGAACUGAGACACGGUCCAGACUCCUACGGGAGGCAGCAGUGGGGAAUAUUGGACAAUGGGCGCAAGCCUGAUGCAGCCAGGCCGCGUGUGUGAAGAAGGUCUUCGGAUUGUAAAGCACUUUCAGCGGGGAGGCGUUACCCGCAGAAGAAGCACCGGCUAACUCCGUGCCAGCAGCCGCGGUAAUUC
This 406-nucleotide ribosomal RNA is filed under the name uncultured bacterium. Its description in RNAcentral is "partial 16S ribosomal RNA". It matches the Rfam family "Bacterial small subunit ribosomal RNA", at positions 30 to 526 of the family's 1533-position model. The record is from RNAcentral.